GAGGGAGAAAAGAAGGACAAGGAAGAUAAGAGGAUCAAGAGGAUGAAGAGGAGAGAUAAAGAGAAGGAGAGAGAGGGUUGAAGAUCAUUGGUAAAUUACACCAAUUCAUUCAUUUAAAAAUUUUCCCUAUGGAGUAAUGUUUAUGGUGAUAUAUAACUAAAUGAAUAUAGAUUAUAUUUGAGACAUCAAAGGACACCAGUGUGUGCUGCAUUAGUGGAGAUUUUAUUCAUUGGAAAAAGACAUAAGCCAACUCAGGCUUUCAGCAAACAUUUGAAAAGACUGGCACAAAGAUUUGGAGGCAACGGCUUAAAACAGGACUUAGAACCAAAACAGGUGUGCAGAUA
This 344-nucleotide long non-coding RNA is filed under the name Homo sapiens (human). Its description in RNAcentral is "HSALNT0106909". The record is from RNAcentral. Lineage: Eukaryota; Metazoa; Chordata; Mammalia; Primates; Hominidae.